CACGCCCUAAACGAUGUCAACUAGUUGUUGGGAGGGUAAAACCUUUUAGUAACGUAGCUAACGCGUGAAGUUGACCGCCUGGGGAGUACGGCCGCAAGGCUAAAACUCAAAGGAAUUGACGGGGACCCGCACAAGCGGUGGAUGAUGUGGAUUAAUUCGAUGCAACGCGAAAAACCUUACCUACCCUUGACAUGUCAGAAAUCCCUGAGAGAUUAGGGAGUGCCGCAAGGAAUCAGAACACAGGUGC
RNAcentral lists this ribosomal RNA (247 nucleotides) under uncultured beta proteobacterium. RNAcentral's name for it is "partial 16S ribosomal RNA". It matches the Rfam family "Bacterial small subunit ribosomal RNA", at positions 796 to 1041 of the family's 1533-position model. Lineage: Bacteria; Pseudomonadati; Pseudomonadota; Betaproteobacteria. The record is from RNAcentral.